This 355-nucleotide unclassified non-coding RNA is filed under the name soil metagenome. Its description in RNAcentral is "partial contains 5.8S ribosomal RNA, internal transcribed spacer 2, and large subunit ribosomal RNA". The stretch from base 1 to 120 matches the Rfam family "5.8S ribosomal RNA", at positions 35 to 154 of the family's 154-position model. The record is from RNAcentral.
GAUGAAGAAAGUAGCGAAAUGCGAUAAGUCAUGCGAAUUGCAGAAUUCAGUGAAUCAUCGAAUCUUUGAACGCACAUUGCGCCCGCUAGUAUUCUGGCGGGCAUGCCUGUCUGAGCGUCAUUUCAACCCUCGCCCCCGGCUUUUGCUGGGAGCGGUGUUGGGGAUCGGCCGCCCGUCACUGGGAGGCCGGCCCCGAAAUAGAGUGGCGACCACGCCGUGUGCUCCUCUGCGUAGUAGUAAAUCACCUCGCAGGCGGACAGCGGUGCGGCCUGCCGUAAAACCCCCAACUCUUUCUGGUUGACCUCAGAUCAGGUAGGAAUACCCGCUGAACUUAAGCAUAUCAAUAAGCGGAGGA